CAAGUUUUGGUGCUUGAAGUACUGCACAACUUGCUGGGGCAGCUCUGCCAGCACAGCUUUGGCCAGGGUCUCCUUGGGGGCCUGCAGGCGAAAGGGAGCAAACACCAGUGUAAGAACAGCCAUAGGGACUGACUGAGCAAAUGUCGCUGAGCUGUCCCUGCCUCCAGACUGUGGCAUUUCAUUUAAUGCCCCCUUGAGUCUACUGGCAGCCAGCAUUUUAUACACCUCAGAUAAUUAUAUUCUAUACUACACCUUCCCUCCAGGACAUAAUUCACUGGUAGGGGGGAUUGAAACAUCCAGGCUAGGUUAGGAAAAACACUGGUAUUGAAUAACAGCAGGUGAAAUGGAAAAACACUGAUUAGGUGCAAAAAGAGUGAAGAUAAGUACAGGCUGAUGUUAUGCACCCUCUGGCAAUCCUGUGCCAGCAGUAGCAUCUGACCCAGGGCUGACUCACAGACGAUCAUGAUGGGCAGGCAACAGCAUCUCAUUCUGAUGGUUUUUUUCCCUCUUUUUUCUUCCUUAAUCAGCUUUUUUCCAACACACAAGGCUGGGCUGGGCCACCAUCCCCCAGAAGAUACCCGUGCAGGGCCAGUGCCAGCAUCACACCUUUCCACAGGUGCUGAAAGAGGACAGGGGGGAGUCGGGACUCACCCCAGCAUUAAGCCCUCAGCACGUGGCACGUGGGAUCACGGGUGCGGAUGAGACCAGCAUAGGACCAUGUGCUGGGAGCAAGCGAGAGCGGAAGCAAGAGGAAGGCAGGUCCGGGCAGCCACCGAAGCUGGCAGCAUCGGAGGGGGUUUGCUGCACGUGUUGAAGAUGGGACGGAAGAGAAGACGACCCCAGGGAAG
Molecule: long non-coding RNA, 848 nt
Organism: Strigops habroptila (Kakapo)
Lineage: Eukaryota; Metazoa; Chordata; Aves; Psittaciformes; Psittacidae
Exons: 2
Source: RefSeq, a predicted model, not a curated record